RNAcentral lists this transfer RNA (66 nucleotides) under Lophosquilla costata. RNAcentral's name for it is "tRNA-Gly". Lineage: Eukaryota; Metazoa; Arthropoda; Malacostraca; Stomatopoda; Squillidae. The record is from RNAcentral.
AUCUUUUUAAUAUAACGAGUAUAUUUGGCUUCCAACCAGAAAGUCUAGAAAUAUCUAGAAAAGAUA